RNAcentral lists this signal recognition particle RNA (295 nucleotides) under Carlito syrichta (Philippine tarsier). Its description in RNAcentral is "Metazoan signal recognition particle RNA (ENSTSYG00000032186.1)". It matches the Rfam family "Metazoan signal recognition particle RNA". From Rfam's summary of the family: The signal recognition particle (SRP) is a universally conserved ribonucleoprotein. It is involved in the co-translational targeting of proteins to membranes. Lineage: Eukaryota; Metazoa; Chordata; Mammalia; Primates; Tarsiidae. The record is from RNAcentral.
GCUAGGAGUAGUGGCGCGUGCCUGUAGCCCAGCUACUUGGGAGGCUGAGGCAGGAGGAUUGCUUGGGCCCAGGAGUUCUGGGCCGCAGUGUGUAUGCCCAUCAGGUGUCCACACUAAGUUGGGCAUCAAUAGGGUGACCUCUCAGGAGUGGGAGACCACCAGUUGCCUAAGGAGGGUGAACCAGCCCAGGUUAGAAAUGGAGCAGGUCAAAAUGCCCGUGCUGAUCUAUAGCAAGAUCGUGCCUAUGAAUAGCCACUGUAUCUCAGCCUGGGCAACACAGCAAGACCCUCUCUCU